GGAACUCGUGUGGGGCCCAGACAGCACGUGCUUGUCCGCUGUCAAGUGGCUCUACCAGUCUCGGCUAUCUCGUGUCCAUCCGCCUGAAAGGAGCAAGCUCCAGGAAAGACGGCAUCAGGCUCGCGGCUCCUCCCGAGGCAGCCGAGCGCUGCAGCAUCUCUGGUGCCCUAUGUCAGGCGAGCUCUCGCUCGCAGCCCCUCCGGGAGAGGACCACAACAUCAGCGACGCACCUAAGCACGCCGCCCCCGACUAACGCACGCGGCAAGCUAAGGUAGGGAGGUAAGCCGGCAUCUGCGUGAGGCGACGUGGGCCUCACUGACUCAUCUCUAGCUUAGACUGAACACAGGGAGCCUUUCAGCCGCACGCUCUGCUGCUGGCACGUGCAGCCCUGCUUGCCGGCUGACCCGGACCUUCUUCUCGCGCCUCCCCAUCCCUCUCAGCCUUUCGGUUUGCGCAGCGUACAGAUUGCAUGUCCGGGCACAGCUGCCAUCUCAGGUCAGGCGUCCCUUUGCGUCCCCGGUGACCUCCCGCGCUGUCACCUAUGGCGACGAGCAAGGACCGUGCCCCGCGGGGGAGACGGGAGCAUCUCUCCUGAGGCCCAACCGCCCGCGCGACCGCGACCGCAACCUUCGGGGAAGGCCAGCGCCAAGGCCGCGCGGGCGAGCUGGGACAAGGGGCCCCGGUGGCGCUUGACGGGGAAGCCGUCUCUGGGGCAAGGUCCAACCACCGGCACCCACGACGGGAUUUCCCCCUGUAGCUCACAGGCCUCGUGGUUUCCCGUAAUCCAAGUUAAGAGCCUUCACCCUCCUCCGAGAUAGCCAGAGCUGAGAACUCAGCCCAAAGUCACAGCCGCCUUCCCCAAUGCACCGCUGCCAGGAUGCCUGCGACGCGCGGGUCCGCGACGGCGGGUUUCUCCAGCCUCGCUGCCCCGUCUUCUCCCGCCAUCGUUUCCCGUCACCUGCCACAUACUGUCGAAACGCCGAGGUGAGGCAGCUGUUACGAGAUGACAGUCACAAGGCAAAGGAAGGCGGGAAGAUUUUUAGGUAUACGUGGAUGUCACGAACACCGCUCGUGGCCAGCGGGGUGACAUAUAUUUUCCUUUAAUGCUUCACUGACCAAAGAGCCAGGCAGUUAUCAGGUUUCAGGUAUUUAUUAAGUGCACCAGUAUCCUUAAGCAAGAGAGUUUAAACAAUAUAGCAAGUUCCGUAUUUAACAGGGUAAAGAGAACAGACUACACUACAGACAGAGCAAGCAGGGGUGAUACGACCUGUUCCACAUCAGGCGAGGGUCUCAAGUGUGCAGGACGCAAUAAGGGGGGUCCCAGUUCAGCUGAGAGGGAGCUCCACAGAGCUGUUGUUAUUGUCACAUUUUAUACGUUUCUAAGGCGCAUGUCUGUUUUGAUUAGGUUUCUUGAUGUCCUUUUCAGUAGCCAGAACCUGUGUCACUCUGACACACUCCUCUGGGCUCAACCCGCUGGCUGGGUUUUCAAAAGGGAAGGGAAAAGAAAUUAAUGAAAACUUGUGACAAAGGUCUCCACUUCUCAGAUUUAGAAAAGUAAAUAGUGGAAGCCCCCGUCAUGGGUCCUCAUGCCUGAUCAGCAUGGAGUUGUAGACAUUAAUUCCCCUUUCACUUGAUUUAUGAGGCAGCUUUGGUGUGGGUCAGGCUCUUGACAUCAGUUUAGGCCGCAAGUGGUUGGUAGCAGAUAAUAGCGGCGGUGGUGACAAACGCCUUGUUAUCAUACCCUGCACAAGCUGGGGCGUGUGUCCACCGGCAGGGAGAGACCACCCGGCCUGCGCCCGGUCCCGCUCCCCAUCUGUGAACAGUGACACCUUCCCCUCUUCAGCAGGGCUUUGGAGUACACAGUGCCUUGUCUGUUCCCCAGGAUGGAUAAUACCGAUAACUCUCAUUUUACCCUAUGGCAGGAAGGUCUUUGAGUUCAAGUAACCUUUUGCUUUCAGACACUAAGGCUGAAAAAACCUGCAUAACAAGCAAGAAGUGGCAACGCUUAGCUCCAGCGGCUUUGCCUGGAAAGGAAAACCCAGCGACUAACCAGAAACAGACUCAGUCGCUGCACCUCCGCCGCCAGCCAAAACUGGAAAGAAAGAGGCAGUGCGGCAUAUGGGAUUUUAAAGCAAUUUCAUUUUCUUAACAUUCAAGUCGUUUUGUUCAAGGAGCUCUUUUUUGAGCAGAUGGUGUCCCUUUAAACGUUGGAAAAGGCAUGGUGCUGGCAAGCCUGCCAACAACCUUGUAGAAAUUAAAAAUCACCACUUAGGAGAAGGGCAUUUCCGAUGGCUGGCUUUCAUCCCAAGGCUAGUCCCGUGCCCACAUGACCGAAGAUUUUCUCUCCCCAUCACGGUGUGAUCGACCUCUCCAGCUGGGUUGUCUUGGGAACGUUGUCCUGACCCCUGGCCCACGCCGGUUCCCCCUUUGGGUGUGAUUGCAGGGCUCAGGCGGGGGGGUAGCAGGAAUGGGGGACACCUGAAAAGUCCCUGUUUUCCUGCACAACUUCAGCGCCUCAGUCCCCAGCGGGUUUUUCCUGCUGAGCCACAGGCAGGGGGGAUUCCCCCCCCCCCCCCCGGGAGCCUACCUGGAAAUGCGCCUGGCUCGGAAAUGGGACCAAAUCAAACACGGGCAAAUGUUCAAAAUUAUCGUUUUGCUGCCUGUUAAUUAACAUUUCCUCUCCCCCCUCCCCCGAUGCCAUAAAGCAUGUGGGUGUUCCCUGUCCAAAUUUCACCAUGUCAGUGCUUUUAAUUAAGACUUGAUUUCGCACUGGCUCCACGUCUGUGCCUGUUUGGGCGAAGGAAAGGAGGAACAACAGUCUGGAGCCCUGGGUCCACAGCAUUGGGGAUGAAACGACACGGGAGGUAGAGUAGCAGGACCUGGCCUCGGAGAUAUUUUAUUUGUCAUGUGAAAAAUAAGACUGCCACAGCACCAAAACCCCCUGGCAGACCUCACUCAAGCUCAGAGAGAAACCAAGCCAGUUCCCCAUUUGCUUGCAGCCCUCGCUGGGUGCUGUUUACCACUGCAGCCUGGAUACGGUUUUGCUGGGCUGGGUUUUUUUUUUUUUUUGUAGGGAAUGGGGGGAAAUUGAGGGGAGGAAGGAUGAAAAGGGAAUUGCUGGUAAAUUGCUUUCAUUCCUGGGAAAUAUAUGUAUACUAAAGAGAGUUUAACCAUCUGGUUUUCCCAUCUUGCUCCCUUUCACCCCAAACCGAGGAUGACUUUUAAGUGAUGGCCCUCAUUACAUUAGCUAGAUCAUCUCUCAUCCAAGCCAUCUGUUCAUUCAUCCAGUUUUUUAAAUAUUUUGAUAGACUUCAUUUUUUUGAACGCCCUGCUGCUGAGUGCACGCUGCCUGAGCACGCGUGUCCCCUGCUUUGCAUUAGCGCGUGUCCCUCCGGAUCUCCUGGAGGGGCUGUCAUGGGCAAAGUGCCCUUUCUCACCUGGAGCAAUAUUCCCAAAUACCAGUCCCCCCGGACCACACGCUCCAUCCCCACAGCUCUCCCCUGCUUUCCAGCUACCAAAAGUUCAAGGGGAAUUUGGGCUGGAGCAGCAAAUGGAAGGAACUCACCCCGAUUCACCGCAAGAAAGCAGCAAUGUUGAAAUGCUGGAACCAAAGUGGUGGUGCUGGACUGUCGAAUUCACAUUCCUGCUGCAAGGAAGACCUGAGACGAGGCUUUAAAUCCUGGACACAGAAACAGCGAUUCAUGGGUGUUCGUGGGACAGCUCCAAAAUGGCACACGGAGGGGUUGCCGGAGCGCUCCCUGUGAUCCCACAAGCCUGCGCGGGCACUGGCACGUCCCUCCCUCCGUGCUCUCUCCUAUGGGUUUUGCCCCAUGCAGGGGGCUUCAGCAUCCAAGAUGCCACUGUGCAAGAGAGAGGAAGCGACCGUAAUGCAAGCAUAAAAGCAGCUCACGAGCUGCAGUAAAUAUAACAUAUCCCUGUUCAGCUUGCCCAAGCGUGAGCCGACAGGCAAGCCCCACUCAUUAUGGAUAACAAAGCUUGCUCUCUGCUGGAAGCUGAAUCGGGUGCGAGGGAGAGCCGAUAUUAACAGCCCAGCUGUGCCUUUGGGGCCACAGCCCAGGAAUCUUUUUUAUCAACCUUGCACGGUCUCUUGGGCUUAUGUGGAUAUACAAGGUUUUUCAGAUUAGUUUAUUCCAGGGAGCCUCCUGCCCCGUCAGCGCAAUGCAAUACCUAAAGUAAAACCGUGCUUCCCAGCUGUCGGGCUUAUUUUCCAAAAGCCGUGUUCUGGCUGCUGAUUACUGGCUCUGAAAAAUGAUCAGCCGUACAGAAGCCUGAGCCAAGGGACUGCAUUUACAUUGUAUUUACAAGCUGCAGAGGGAGAUAGGGAUGCAGAUAUUACUCUUGCUUUAAAGGGAGAGGAUGAGGCUACUGAAGCGAGCUGGCAGAAAUCUGCCAUAAACGCCCAGAAAAACCUGAAAAAUUGCCUGCAUGUCCUCCCAUUACCAUCAAGCAAUUGGUGAGGUUUGGUCGAGCCCAGAAACUCCUGUAUCAUGAACAAUUGCAGCCUUGGCCUUGCUCCAUUUCUGCAUGCUUCGCUCCGCUUUCAGACUGUCGUGUUUAUACACAGCCCUGACGGGACUCCUUCAAUAUUUGCUUAGCCAAGUACAUGCUCUAAGUUAUGACUGAAAUUCUCCUUUAAUGAGCUCGCCAAGUUCCACUGCUGGCUUAGCAUUUCCUUAAGCUGACACAUGUCAGAAAGCAGGUGACCUACUUUAGAGUUUCUGCUAUGGGAAGGAACAAAUCUGAUUUCUGAGCCAACACCACAUUUCCUAAGAACCUCACAGACUACAGGGAAAAGGUAGAAAUGAGCCAGCUGCUGUUAUAUGCAAAAGGUAAGAGCUUUGAAACCCUCAGUUAACACUGCAAGAAGCCAUGAGAGGGGAAAACGUGCAAAUAAGAAUUGACAGCUCUUGAUCUCGGUCAUACUUGAUGUUGUACCAGAUGGUACAAGGUGCUGUAAACAAGGUUAUGGACGAAAGAAGAUGAGGGAAUGACUUGCCUUGCAAAAAGCUCGGAAGUCACCGUAUUCUUGGUUUAGCCCAGCCCAUGAAGAGCCCAUCAGCCAGUAGCCCCUAAAUGCUUUUGUGCUGUCCACACAGUGCUUGUGGGGUCCUCGACUGCCGGGCCACCACCAGAGCUGCUGCAGUCCAGCGCAGCCCUUUCCCUGCGUCCCUGUGUAGCUGCCGUGCCACGGAGCUGCAGGGGACAGGGAGACCUUCCCCUAGCAGGGGCAUCCCACAGCUGCCCUGCGGGAAGGCGCGGGGCCUGCCUGCCCUGCAGUGGAAGAUGAGACUGCUCUACAGGAAGAGAAAAGAGCACGUCCGAAGUGUUUUCCAAAGAAGAAAACCCCCAAACCCUGCAUGCUAUUUUUUGGUUUUGUUUUACCAUAAUUCAAGGUAUUUUUUUUUGAAAUGAGAAUGUAAUUUUCCUACAAAAGAUAACUGGCAUUUUUUGAUCAACUCUACCACACUAGUUUUACCUGGAGAUCUUAAGGUAGAGGGACAGGAACUCAUGAAGUGCAAGCUCAAAGACAAGACAUUUUGAUGGAAUAGCUUUUCAUUUUUUUGGGAUGUUUCUUUGCUUACUUUCAGUUUCUCAAAAAUAUGGGUCAUUUGCAAAUGAUUUCAAAUUCUCAGAUCUCCGAAUCCUGUGUUGCUGCUGCUCUUUUGCCUGCAGUGAGAAGAUAUUCGCAUAGUCAGAGAGGUUCAGAACAGCAUGGAUCUCUUUGUAGGGUCAGUUAUUCUUCUUACACCAUAUGCUUGACAGGAAUCAGCUUAGGGAAGUCCAAGUAAUAGCAGUACCAAAAGAAAAAAAAAAAAAAAAAAAAGGAUCUAAAUGACGAUAAAAAUUAACUGGAAGAUCUGCAUGCAAGUUCCCUGUAAACUGCAUUCACUUCAGUUCUCCAGACGGGAAACUGCACAAACAAAAUGAAUAAAUAGCCAAUUAAAUUAAGUGUUUGUGCACUUUCCAAGCUUCACUUCUCCACUCAAACAUCAAGUCCAGACUCAUCACCCACGUCAUUUUGAUGGUAGGUUCCCAGUAAUUUUUGCUACUCUUCAAUGGGCCUGCCAACCACAGGAAGAAGGAAGAGAUGCUCCGACAGACCAGUGCUUCUAACCAGCUGGUUAUGGCUCUGGGGAGACCGGUUCAGCCCCCAGCACCCCGUAGGCACCACAUGUGGUAGAGGGAGACAUCUACCACGUGCAUGUGUAAUUCCUCCGUCUGCCAAAAGGCCCCGACUCCGAAUGUUUGCACACUGAGACGCACACUUCUGGCACACCCAGGCCUUCUGGCAAAUUUCAGCUGUGUUUGAGAAAGCAGCAAAAGAGAGAAGAACUUGCAGAAAAAUCUGAACAAAAUAUUUAACUUUUCUAUUCAAAGUCACAUUUGACUAAUAUUUAAUUAUUAAAGUGUAAUUUUCACAUGCAAGACCUUGCCAUGGUCUCC
Molecule: long non-coding RNA, 6465 nt
Organism: Dromaius novaehollandiae (emu)
Lineage: Eukaryota; Metazoa; Chordata; Aves; Casuariiformes; Dromaiidae
Exons: 3
Source: RefSeq, a predicted model, not a curated record